UUCAGAGACCGUUUUGUGUUUUACUACAUUGUAUUCUCUCUUGGCACAUCAAAAGAUGGUAUUUCUUAGCCUUUUUGCAGGUAUACUAGAAGCCAGUUGCAUGAAGAUUCGCGUAAUAGGCCUUCCUUCACCUGCCUGCCGGCACCAGUUUUCCUCUGGCACCCGGGACCCAGGCCUUUGGUCCGGCUGCAGCGGAGAAGCCAAGCCUCUUCAAUCUUCAGUCCGGCCGGAGCCUUCAGUCUUCGCUCCGCGCCUACGUAUGCAAAUUAACCACCAUCUAUGUUGGGUUAACUUGCAUACUCAUCCUAUUGGCUGGUGAUGAUUGUGGAGACCACAGGAUAAAAUAGAAGAGUCCCAACAUGGGAACUACCUGGAUCCUUGAAUCACCCCAUGGAAGACAGGAAUAUCGUCUGUUCUGUUUUCAUG
Long non-coding RNA from Myotis daubentonii (Daubenton's bat), 426 nucleotides. RefSeq lists it as uncharacterized. The record is from RefSeq and is a predicted model, not a curated record. The transcript is spliced from 2 exons. Lineage: Eukaryota; Metazoa; Chordata; Mammalia; Chiroptera; Vespertilionidae.